Felis catus (domestic cat) is the source of this 2090-nucleotide long non-coding RNA. RefSeq lists it as uncharacterized. The transcript has 2 exons. The record is from RefSeq and is a predicted model, not a curated record. Lineage: Eukaryota; Metazoa; Chordata; Mammalia; Carnivora; Felidae.
CAUGACCUGAGCCAAAAUCAAGAGUCGGAUACUUAACCGACUGAGCCACCCAGGUGCCCCAAUAGCAAUAAUAAUCAAUAAAACUUCUUAAAUGCAAAAUAAAAUCCAUAAGCCUCAAAGAGUUAAUGCAGUUUCCAAAGGUGCUUGACAGAUAAGGAACAGUCUAGGCACAGGGAGAAUCUGACUUAUUGGGAGCAAAUAAAGCCAAGAUUUUAAAAUGUCUUUUAAUGUGAAACACGUAUGUGCCCCUGGGCCUGAAAACAAGCCACAACCUUCCCAGUUGUGGUGAAGGUUCCUAACAAUAGAAAUGAGUUGUGGUACAAUGUUAUUUAAACUGGAAAGUUCUGAGGAGAAUUUUGAUUUGUAGAGGAAGUCACAGAUGGGAGAAGACAAGUGCAGAGGGCAGAAGGGAGAGGCUAUUUUUCUAUGACUCUUCUGAUUACAAAGAGAGCAGAAUUAACUGCUAGUUCUCAUUAUCUGUGUAUGCAGAACAGAACCAAACAAGCCUAACAAGAUGAAAAUUGAUAUUUAAUCACAAAGCUAGAAGGUACCUUAUUAAAGUGACCUGCUUUGGUAUUGAGAUAAUUAGUUGUGGUUUUAAGUGUCCUUAUGGAAGCACUCUCAUUCAUGGUGGUGUGGACUUCUGUUUGCUUCUUGCUUAGGGGACAUCAGUUCUUCAAUAGAACUCUGUCAAACAUUGAUUCUACAUGGGCUGUGUGGGUUUUGUCUUAAAUUUGUAUUUUAAAAUAAUUAUAGAUUCAUAGGAAAUUGCAAAAAAAAAAAAUGUGCAGGGAAUUCCUUAUGCAUCCUUCACCAAGUCUUCCCCUAUGGUAAUGUCAUAUAGAGUUAUGUCUCAGAACCGAGAAAUUGACAUUGGAAUACUCCACAGAGCUUAUUCUGAUUUACAAACACUCGUGUAUGCGUGUGUGUGUGUGUGUGCAUCUGUGUGGUUCUAUGCAAUGUCAUCCUGUAUAGUUUCAUGUAACACCACUGUGAUCAAGAUACAGUGUUCCACGUAGGGUUUGAAGAACUGUAAAGGGAUUCAGAAUGAGUCACUUUGCUUGUGGUCCCACCAGCUUGAGUUCAGGACUUUUUACUUGGGGGGACUGCUGCUUUGUGGGGAUAGGUAGCAUAGCUUUUGCAACAUAAAGUGACUUUUUUUUUAUGUGAUCAUCAUUAAAGGUGUGUUUCUCAAGGACUAUGUUUUGAGGAAGAAAAUCAUGGUCACUUUAUGUGAAGGAAGUGAAAUGGUAAAUUUAUACCCCAAAACAUAAAAUCUGUUAGUGGUCUUUAUUUUGGGGGCAAGCCCACCAAUUCUGGCAUAACAACAAUGGACUCAAUCCUAGAAAAGUUCCUCUUCUGCCAAGUUUUAGAACAUUUGAGACUUGUUCAAUAAAUGGUGCAACUUUCUAGUUCCUGAAACAGAAGACUGUCGAUCCCCCAGAGAAAUGCCCUGGUAUGUUUGAAGUGAAUAGGUAUGAUUCUACAAUAAAGAAAUGGAAAGUCACUUAAUAGCACCUUCUAAGCAUUGUCAACAUAUUAAAAUCCGCCUCACUUAUGUUUUAUAGGUAAUUGCUGUCUCCAGAACUUAAGGAUACAUAAUCCUGUCUACUAUUUACAUGGCGUGAGGAUUUUAAUUGUCUCUGCACCUAGUAUAUCAAAACUAAGGUGCUUAGGAAUGAAGGAUCUGAGUCUUUCCCUGCGGAGACAGCCCUGAAGAACUCCUGUAACGUCAAGCUGGCGAUUUCCAAGAAGCAAUCCGGGACCUGCAUUCCCAAAGAGACCCACAAGAAAGAAAAGACAUGAGGCUCUGAAGCACCGACACCAUGCAGAUCGCAGUGCUGCCUGUUCCUGGGGGUGGUGGGCUGAUAAGAGCAUCCCUGCUCUCCCGGCCCUCGACUUCUGCAGCCCUCAGAAUCCCCUGCUCUCUCAUCAAAUACAAACUUUAAAACGAUGGUACCCAUGAGACAGCCCUGGGAAAAAGCAUAUUAGUGACACUCCUUAUGGAGGAGAAGCUGAUUCUACUAAUGGUGCGUUUUCAGUAAAUGAGAAACGGACUCUGAUCGAAAUUAAAUCUGUGGUUCAAUGCA